This 66-nucleotide small RNA is filed under the name Salmonella enterica. RNAcentral describes it as "partial RtT sRNA". It matches the Rfam family "RtT RNA", at positions 1 to 66 of the family's 130-position model. From Rfam's summary of the family: This family represents a bacterial cis-regulatory element known as RtT RNA. The exact function of RtT is unknown although it is thought that it may be involved in changing the cellular response in relation to amino acid starvation. Lineage: Bacteria; Pseudomonadati; Pseudomonadota; Gammaproteobacteria; Enterobacterales; Enterobacteriaceae. RNAcentral also lists the same sequence under 1 other name. The record is from RNAcentral.
AUAUCUCUCCGUACGGGAAGGAUGAGAAGCUUCGACUAAGGUUCGAUUCGAGCGCAGCGAGAAAGC